Molecule: ribosomal RNA, 253 nt
Filed under: uncultured bacterium
Lineage: Bacteria
Description: partial 16S ribosomal RNA
Rfam family: Bacterial small subunit ribosomal RNA
Source: RNAcentral
UACGUAGGGACCAAGCGUUGUUCGGAUUUACUGGGCGUAAAGGGCGCGUAGGCGGUAGCACAAGUCAGUUGUGAAAUCUCCGGGCUUAACUCGGAAAGGUCAACUGAUACUGUGCGACUAGAGUGCAGAAGGGGCAACUGGAAUUCUCGGUGUAGCGGUGAAAUGCGUAGAUAUCGAGAGGAACACCUGCGGCGAAGGCGGGUUGCUGGGCUGACACUGACGCUGAUGCGCGAAAGCCAGGGGAGCGAACGGG